RNAcentral lists this long non-coding RNA (1405 nucleotides) under Homo sapiens (human). RNAcentral describes it as "HSALNT0379130". The record is from RNAcentral. Lineage: Eukaryota; Metazoa; Chordata; Mammalia; Primates; Hominidae.
CAUAUCCCCUGCGCACUGUCCGGAGCACUCCUUCCCUUCCCUGGUUCCUCAAGGCACGGCUCCCCCAGGCAGAUGAAAGCUUAAUAGAGUUUUGCGACAUGAAAGUCAGUCGGAGGAAAGAGCCUUGAACAGUUGUGCGUGAGAGAGAGGCAAGCGCCCGAAAUUAUUUUACGACAAAGGCAGCUCUCUCUGCCACAGAGGCACAGAGGAGAAAGGAGCCCAGGAAACGGGUCAUUUCUUUCGUGGAAAAAUGGAAAUGCUCUGAAGCAUUUUGGGAGACGUGCUGUGAAGCAGGUGACACCAGAAGACAAGGACACUGGGGGCUCCCUGCCGGGAGGCGCAAAAAGCAACUCCCGUUCGAGGGUCAGAGGAGCCUGGAUGCUAAUGUCUCUCCAAAGUGACUUGGAGCCAACUGCCGGAAAGGCCAUGCCCUUAGGAGCACAGGCAGGUCCCAGCUCAGUCUUUCAUCUUGGGAGACACGCGGUUCGCAAUGUACGGGGAGCCCAUUGCUUGGAGCCCAAGCUGGCAGGAUGUCAAACCUGAAGUACUAGGCGUCUUGGAGCUUCUGCCUGGAGUACGAAAUCCGAGGAAACUGAAGUGUGGAAAACGGGGCAGUAGCAAUGUGAAUGAGGAUGAUUGAGGGGUGCUGGGGACUCCCUGUUUCUUAACCUUGGAGGGCUCUCAGAGGCAUGCUUCUCCAUCGUCGACCCAGGGCACCAUGGAGCUAUCUUGCCCUUUCUUUUCCUGACAUCCAAUGAUUCCCCACCUAAUAGUGCAUGGAGCUCUUGGGAAAGAGUGUAUAGAUUCUAUAUGGUGUGCAUGGAGCAGCUGGCCCUGAGGAAGGAAGGGAUUUCAUUAUUGCAAGGCUCAGGGGCAAGUGUGGACUAGCAGGGUCCCAAACUCUACAGGCCUUGACAGUCCAACAUUGUCACACUCAACACUCGCCCAUUUGCUUUAAAAAGCACCCUAGACCUGCACUCUCUGAUAUAGCAGCCAUGAGCCACAUGGGUACUGAACACUUGAAAUGCAGUUUGACCAAAUCGAAAGGUGCUGUGAGUGCAAGCAGCAUACGGGACUUCAGAGACUUAGUACAAAAGGAGAAUGUAAACGAUCUCGUGAAGAUUUCUACAUCGAUUACACAUUGAGAUGAUAAUAUUUUGAAUACAUUGGGUUAAAUAAAAUAUAUUGUUAAAAUUAAUUUCACCUGGUUAAGAGCCAGGUGAAAUUUACUUUUCAAAACAUGUUGCUAGAAAUUGUGAAAUUACUUAUGUGGCUCACUUUACAUUUUUUUUUUUUUUUUUUUGCCCAGGCUGAAUGGAGUGCAGUGGCGUGAUCUCGGCUCACUGCAACCUCCGCCUCCAAGGUUCAAGCGAUUCUUCUGCCUCAGCCUCCUGAGUCGCUGGGA